Molecule: ribosomal RNA, 791 nt
Filed under: uncultured archaeon
Lineage: Archaea
Description: bacterial SSU rRNA
Rfam family: Archaeal small subunit ribosomal RNA
Source: RNAcentral
AUAACCUGCCCUGUGGAGGGAAAUAACCCCGGGAAACUGGGGAUAAUGUCCCAUAGGCUACAGAUGCUGGAAUGCUCUGUAGCUCAAAGAUUUAUCGCCACAGGAUGGAUCUGCGGCCGAUUAGGUAGUUGUUGGGGUAACGGCCCAACAAGCCUUUGAUCGGUACGGGUUGCGGGAGCAAGAGCCCGGAGAUGGAUUCUGAGACACGAAUCCAGGCCCUACGGGGCGCAGCAGGCGCGAAAACUUUACAAUGCGGGAAACCGUGAUAAGGGAACUCCGAGUGUCCGUAAAUGCGGACUGUCCGUAUGUCUAAAAAGCAUGCGAAGAAAGGGCCGGGCAAGACCGGUGCCAGCCGCCGCGGUAAUACCGGCGGCUCGAGUGGUGGCCACUAUUACUGGGCUUAAAGCGUUCGUAGCUGGGUCGUUAAGUCUCUUGGGAAAUCUACCGGCUUAACCGAUAGGCGUCCAAGGGAUACUGGCGAUCUAGGGACCGGGAGGGGUGAGGGGUACUUCAGGGGUAGGAGUGAAAUCCUGUAAUCCUUGGGGGACCACCUGUGGCGAAGGCGCCUCACCAGAACGGCUCCGACAGUGAGGGACGAAAGCUGGGGGAGCAAACCGGAUUAGAUACCCGGGUAGUCCCAGCCGUAAACGAUGCGCGUUAGGUGUAUCGAUGACCACGAGUCAUCGAGGUGCCGAAGGGAAACCGUGAAACGCGCCGCCUGGGAAGUACGGUCGCAAGGCUGAAACUUAAAGGAAUUGGCGGGGGAGCACCACAACAGGUGGAGCCUGCGG